CCUACGGGAGGCAGCAGUGAGGAAUAUUGCACAAUGGGGGAAACCCUGAUGCAGCGACGCCGCGUGAGUGAAGAAGUAAUUCGUUAUGUAAAGCUCUAUCAGCAGGGAAGAAAAUGACGGUACCUGAGUAAGAAGCCCCGGCUAACUACGUGCCAGCAGCCGCGGUAAUACGUAGGGGGCAAGCGUUAUCCGGAUUUACUGGGUGGAAAGGGAGCGUAGACGGCAGUGCAAGUCUGGAGUGAAAGGCGGGGGCUCAACCCCCGGACUGCUCUGGAAACUGGACGGCUGGAGUGCAGGAGAGGUAAGUGGAAUUCCUAGUGUAGCGGUGAAAUGCGUAGAUAUUAGGAAGAACACCAGUGGCGAAGGCGGCUUACUGGACUGUAACUGACGUUGAGGCUCGAAAGCGUGGGGAGCAAACAGGAUUAGAUACCCUUGUAGUC
This 440-nucleotide ribosomal RNA is filed under the name uncultured bacterium. Its description in RNAcentral is "partial 16S ribosomal RNA". It matches the Rfam family "Bacterial small subunit ribosomal RNA", at positions 338 to 795 of the family's 1533-position model. The record is from RNAcentral.